Molecule: transfer RNA, 72 nt
Filed under: Bos taurus (domestic cattle)
Lineage: Eukaryota; Metazoa; Chordata; Mammalia; Artiodactyla; Bovidae
Also listed under: 2 other names
Rfam family: tRNA
About the family: Transfer RNA (tRNA) molecules are approximately 80 nucleotides in length. Their secondary structure includes four short double-helical elements and three loops (D, anti-codon, and T loops).
Source: Rfam by way of RNAcentral
UCCUUGGUGGCUCAGACGGUAAAGAAUCUGCUUGCAAUGCAGGAGACCUGGGUUCGAUUCCUGGGCUGGGAA